CCUCCAGACUCCUACGGGAGGCAGCAGUGAGGAAUAUUGGUCAAUGGGCGCGAGCCUGAACCAGCCAAGUCGCGUGAGGGAUGAAGGAUCUAUGGUUCGUAAACCUCUUUUAUAAGGGAAUAAAGUGCGGGACGCGUCCCGCUUCGCAUGUACCUUAUGAAUAAGGAUCGGCUAACUCCGUGCCAGCAGCCGCGGUAAUACGGAGGAUCCGAGCGUUAUCCGGAUUUAUUGGGUUUAAAGGGUGCGUAGGCGGCCUUUUAAGUCAGGGGUGAAAGUCUGGGGCUCAACCAUAGAAGUGCGGUUGAAACUGGGGGGCUUGAGUAUGUUGGAGGAAGGCGGAAUGCGUGGUGUAGCGGUGAAAUGCAUAGAUAUCACGCAGAACCCCGAUUGCGAAGGCAGCCUGCCAAGCCAUGACUGACGCUGAUGCACGAAAGCGCGGGUAUCGAACAGGAUUAGAUACCCCUGUAA
RNAcentral lists this ribosomal RNA (468 nucleotides) under uncultured bacterium. RNAcentral describes it as "bacterial SSU rRNA". It matches the Rfam family "Bacterial small subunit ribosomal RNA", at positions 328 to 793 of the family's 1533-position model. The record is from RNAcentral.